UGGGGAAUAUUGCACAAUGGGCGCAAGCCUGAUGCAGCCAUGCCGCGUGUAUGAAGAAGGCCUUCGGGUUGUAAAGUACUUUCAGCGGGGAGGAAGGUGUUGUGGUUAAUAACCUCAGCAAUUGACGUUACCCGCAGAAGAAGCACCGGCUAACUCCGUGCCAGCAGCCGCGGUAAUACGGAGGGUGCAAGCGUUAAUCGGAAUUACUGGGCGUAAAGCGCACGCAGGCGGUCUGUCAAGUCGGAUGUGAAAGCCCCGGGCUCAACCUGGGAACUGCAUCCGAAACUGGCAGGCUUAAGUCUUGUAGAGGGGGGUAGAAUUCCAGGUGUAGCGGUGAAAUGCGUAGAGAUCUGGAGGAAUACCGGUGGCGAAGGCGGCCCCCUGGACAAAGACUGACGCUCAGGUGCGAAAGCGUGGGGAGCAAACA
This 427-nucleotide ribosomal RNA is filed under the name uncultured bacterium. RNAcentral describes it as "partial 16S ribosomal RNA". It matches the Rfam family "Bacterial small subunit ribosomal RNA", at positions 355 to 774 of the family's 1533-position model. The record is from RNAcentral.